Molecule: long non-coding RNA, 992 nt
Filed under: Marmota monax (woodchuck)
Lineage: Eukaryota; Metazoa; Chordata; Mammalia; Rodentia; Sciuridae
Source: RNAcentral
AUUCUAAGUGUAGUAAGAAGCAAAGAAGUUUAAGCUUGAAAGUACCAUGAUAAAUUCUAAAAGAUGACUCUGGCUUCUAUUUGGAAAAUUGAAUGGAGGGGUGGGGUAGAGAUAGAGAAGCAAAAAUUGGAAAUAGUAGGACAAGUAAAGAAACUCUGAAAUAGCCCAACAGAAAGGUAAAGGUGGAUUGUAAAAACAAUGGAGAAAGAAAAACCAACGAAUUAACAAUUUGUUAGAAAUGAUGGAGCCUAUCAGCUUUCUAGAGAAUCUAUCCUUGAACUUUAUUCCUAAAUCGGUCUACUUUUGCAAUUCUUAGCUUCUAUACCAUAAAACAAAAGGACUUCAAUUUUAAGUUGAUUAAACCAUCCAGGAUGAAAACAAAGUUGUAACCUUAAAGCUACUUCAAAAGGAAAGACUAUAUGUUCCACACACAGAAAAAACUUGGAAUUGACAAGCUAUGUGGAACCGAGUAAACAGGAGGUCCAUAUUCUGCACUGAAAGUACGCACUUACAGAGAAAUUAAAGGCUAGAUUUUUGCUGCUGAUACAUUGUUACCAAGGAGAAAAAAAACAACAAAAAAAAAUUAGUUAUGGCAUUUCUCUCAUGACUCAUUGGAGAAAUCCAGAGUUCCCACCAAGAGAAAUUUUAGUGAAUUGCCUUCUUUUUUGAAUGAUGGAAAGCAGGAGAAAAUUGUGCCAGUUGCAGAGUGCCAGGAAACAAUGAUUCAAUCAUAGAAACAGAAAAUUUUACCAGUAGAAAAUGACUUUUGCAUGAAUUUCAACCAUCUUGAAUGUGUGUCUAUGAAAACAAACUUCCCAACCACGAUCAGCUUUUUCCAAGAUUGUCCACUUUUCUUCUUUUGCUGUAUAUUCACUUAAAAAUAUUCUUAAUCUAACCCACGAAGGAUUUAAGAAAUGAUGGAUAAUUAGUGGAAAACACCAUUUAAUAUUUUCAAGUCAAUCCAUAAUUUUUUUCUUUCAAGUGGGAAAAAG